UUAUUAAAAAAGUUUCAAUUAAGACACUCUCAGUGCUCAUAAGCCUUAUACCAGCGCAAUUUUUGAUAUACCGCUUUCUAGAGAAAGUAAUCCAUUAUCUAGUGUAUCUUUCGUUAAUAAAGCGCUACCGACUCUGUUUUUAAAUGUAAUCCAGAUUAAAAAGGCCUAGACAAAUUAAUGACUUUAGUCGUAUUCUAAUGAAAGUCCAGCGCGGUUUAAAAUACUAUUUGAUGGGAUAUGAUUUAUUUUAUGAAUAGAUAUUUCAGAAAAAUUAUCAAUAUAAGAAAAGUAAAAAGGUUUCUGCUGCCUUUCUUUAUUGCUUUCGGAUGGUUCAUGCUUACGGCAUUCCCAAUACUUGCUAUCCUUUUGUUUGAUAGAAAGUUUAACUUCAAUUCAACAUCUGGCAAUUUAUUAACGCUUUGGACAAGUCUAUUUGGUAUUAUUCUGCUCGUCAUUCGCUACAAAGGCGAUCCUUACUACUUACCAUUCGCAAAGAAACGAAUGCUUCACCGCUAUGCCAAAGGAUUCUUAUUUGGCCUCCUUCUCUUUGCAAUAAACUGGCUAUUUAUUUUUGGCCUACAAGGCUUUCAUGUCCGCUUAGCCUUUUCUUUCUCCGGCUUACCUAUCCUAGGACUAUUUUUAGUCGGCUUCAUUUUCCAAUCCAUGUUUGAGGAGUUAGUCUGCCGCGGCUACAUCAUGGGUUACUGGUUAAAGCGGCAAAAGUUGUUAACCGCUUGUCUGGCGAAUACGAUCUUUUUCACCCUAAUGAACGGCUUCAAUUCUGAGUUUAGUGUUUCAGCUUUCUUGGGCAUUUUUCUUUUCGGCAUGCUCUUGUCAGAAAUCCGAUUAAUUACCGGCAACAUUUGGUUCUGUGGCGCCUUCCACGCCGCUUGGAACUUCGCGGAAAGCAGGUUGUUUGGUGUGACUGUCCCCGGAUUAUCUGAUUCAGGCAUGAUCUUGAAGUCAACGAAUACCGGUUUGAGCCCAUUCAUUACUGGCGGCACUUUUGGCGUCGAAGCCAGUUGGCUAACUAUCGGGUUAUACUUGGCCCUAAGCUUCUGGGUUCUAAGUCUGUUACAGAAACAGAAGGGGAAGUUAUACGGUACGACUAUCGCCGGUUUUUAAAUUCGGCUGUUAAGUUUGAUCAUCACCAGAAAACAGGCACCGCUAUCAUGAACUUUUUCAGUUCGCGAUGGCGCUGCCUGUUUAUUUGUGAUGACUGACAACGUCAUUCAACUUAAGUGCCAUCAUCUGCCGCUACCCAGCACUAGCACGACGGUACGCCAGACACAAACUUGUUUUGUGCCAUCCCCUCCAUGUCAAAAAGAGCAGUACGUUGUUCUAGCGUGAGUUGAUACUGGUGGUCUCGCAUCUGAUCUCUACUGAAGAGACUGCGAGUUGAUUCGUGCUAAAAUCAUGCCCAUAAGAUUAUUUCGACUUAUCGCUAGAUGGCUAUAUGGAGCGAUUCAUCAUGACAAAUAUUGAAAAAAUAUGGUUAAUCGUAUUGUUAAUCGUUGCAUUUGUUGUGCCUAUUUUCGGGCUGAUCCCUGCCGUUUAUCUUUUCACGAAAAGGCGUUCAACCUUGGAUUUCAUCGCGCUUAAUGGAUGGAUACCCGGUGCAAUCGUUCUGCAGAUUUUCUAUCUCAUUUCCGUCAUUGUCAUAGGCUGGGUUGUUUCUCUACAUUAAAAAUCGCUAAAAGACCACGCAAACACUCAGUCAUACGCUUGAUUCUAGCGUCUUCCAUGUGUGCCUACCAAGCAAUGAUCUUGUAUUUAAUUGCUGACACUCAGCUAUUGCGAUCAUAAAAAGCACCCGCCUCAAAAAAUCAAACUGAUCCUUGCCUAUGUCAAUUUGACGAGUAUACCGAUUCCAUCUUCAUGCUUAAAAUUGCUUUUAGGUGGGAGAUUAUCCAGAAAGCCCAAUUGUUGACCUAAUCAAUUAUCCCAGCUUAUAAUAAAAUUGGUUGUAGGCUCACUGCAACGUCUCAAAUUGUGCAUCUCUGCAUUUGUCGUGCUUAACCAAAAACGAGGCGAUUUGAAUGAAUGAAAAAGGGACUGCCUUGUUCAAGAAGCGCUAUCAACAUGUCCUCAGAUUUCAAACGUUCUGGAUCGGUUUCUAUGUAAUUUUCAUGCCCUAUCUACUCCCUAAAAGAUCGCCUGUUCUAGAGAUGAUAUGGGUUUUUGUCAUCCCGUUCUCUCUCAUCACUUACCUCAUCUACGAAUAUUUUAGACUUAAAGCUGCCAAGGUAGGGUCGCUCGUCUUUUUGAUCGCGCUACUUGGCAUGCUAGUACUCGUAUGUUUGCAGAUUCUAAGGGUGAUUUCAUUGUAAACGGUUUGAUAAACGGCUUGCGUCAUGACAUGUCCGCCCCAAUCGACAAGAACAGUGUAUCCUUUUUCCUUUGGAUAUACUGUUCUUUACUUUAUGAACAGUAAAAAGACCGCAAAAUUGUGAUUAGCAAACACAAUCGGGCGAUCUUACCCUAACGCACCAGACUAGCGAUUUUUAGUCAACGU
Molecule: ribosomal RNA, 2515 nt
Filed under: Lacticaseibacillus paracasei
Lineage: Bacteria; Bacillati; Bacillota; Bacilli; Lactobacillales; Lactobacillaceae
Description: Lactobacillus paracasei 23S ribosomal RNA
Source: RNAcentral